GAUGAACGCUGGCGGCGUGCCUAAUACAUGCAAGUCGAGCGAACAGAUGAGGAGCUUGCUCCUCUGACGUUAGCGGCGGACGGGAGAGUAACACGUGGUUAACCUACCUAUAAGACUGGGAUAACUUCGGGAAACCGGAGCUAAUACCGGAUAAUAUAUUGAACCGCAUGGUUCAAUAGUGAAAGACGGUUUUGCUGUCACUUAUAGAUGGAUCCGCGCCGCAUUAGCUAGUUGGUAAGGUAACGGCUUACCAAGGCAACGAUGCGUAGCCGACCUGAGAGGGUGAUCGGCCACACUGGAACUGAGACACGGUCCAGACUCCUACGGGAGGCAGCAGUAGGGAAUCUUCCGCAAUGGGCGAAAGCCUGACGGAGCAACGCCGCGUGAGUGAUGAAGGUCUUCGGAUCGUAAAACUCUGUUAUUAGGGAAGAACAAAUGUGUAAGUAACUAUGCACGUCUUGACGGUACCUAAUCAGAAAGCCACGGCUAACUACGUG
This 497-nucleotide ribosomal RNA is filed under the name uncultured bacterium. RNAcentral's name for it is "partial 16S ribosomal RNA". It matches the Rfam family "Bacterial small subunit ribosomal RNA", at positions 28 to 507 of the family's 1533-position model. The record is from RNAcentral.